RNAcentral lists this unclassified non-coding RNA (353 nucleotides) under uncultured fungus. RNAcentral describes it as "sequence contains ITS1". The stretch from base 1 to 105 matches the Rfam family "5.8S ribosomal RNA", at positions 50 to 154 of the family's 154-position model. The record is from RNAcentral. Lineage: Eukaryota; Fungi.
CAACUGCGAUAAGUAGUGUGAACUGCAGAAACCUUGAACACAGAACAUUCGAAUGCACAUUGCGCCAUUGGAGUGACAUCCUUUGGCACGCCUGGUUCAGGGUCGUAAUCCUAAAGCGCACAGCGUGUGCGUGUACUGGCUGCCAGAUCAACGUGUUCGAACAUACCGUUGUUCAGGCAUUGUGUUGUUGUGCGCCUGGCGGCGUCGGGCUAGCGCUGGCACGGACUUGUAUGCAUUCAGUUGCGUCCGUGUUCCUGAAAUUGGUUUAAGCGUUGCUCGGCUGUCGCUGCGGUAGCACUCGCAUCAUUAACAUUUUCGACCUGAACUCAGACGUGAACACCCGCUGAACUUAA